AUGUAGUUUGAUUCUGGCUCCCCGGUUGGAACCUCCUCGUUUAAACUCAAUGCAAAUCUUGGUGAUCCCGUGAGGGAGAACAACCCCUUAAAGGUAUUUUGUCAAGUGACAAAUCUCAACAUGUGUAUUGCUAUUCAGGGAACUCACGCCUGCAGAGUAAAAGUCUGGAACAGCUACGAAAGUAGACACCGAACCUGGUAUAAGGCUGACAAACAAGGGGUGCCAGCAGUCGCGGUUACACCCUGGGCUUCUCCAACCCUGACGGUAUCGCACCUUACUCUAAAAUGAAGACAAACCUUAACUUCUCCUACGGUUCAAUGUGCAGAAGCAACUUGCCUUACUUGUCGUGUCGAGUACCUGCGUAAGCGUGGACCGAAACAAGGAUUUGAUACCCUUUUAUCCCUCGCCGUGAAAAUAAAUGACUGGGUAGUACGAGCACAUGCUUAAAAUACAAAGAAAUUGGCGGCUACUCAACCUCCCAGGGGAACCUGUCACUGAAAUUGAUGAUCCACGUGGCGCGUAACCUGCCCUUGCUGCCAGCCCAUGUACGGCCGUCGACAGCUCUUUCCGCGAGGACAUUGCCCAAAAGUCUUUCGCUUCCAAGUCAGGUAAUUGUGUGGCCAAUGGGCAGGAGUGAUGGGUUACAACCGCUAAGAUCGCGCAGUCCCGAGACUAAGCCUAAAGCUACUUCAUAAGAAGGACUUGGCAGUAAAAAGGUAUGCCUUACCUUUUGAAGUGUUUGCCAUCUGGGUAGUGUACAGAUCGCCCGUCACCCUCGCCGUGAGGUGGGAUAAGUCGUAACAAGGUAGGUGUAGCGGAAGCUGCACCUA
Molecule: ribosomal RNA, 830 nt
Filed under: Notomastus sp. GK-2021
Lineage: Eukaryota; Metazoa; Annelida; Polychaeta; Capitellidae
Description: 12S ribosomal RNA
Source: RNAcentral